UACGUAGGUGGCAAGCGUUGUCCGGAAUUACUGGGCGUAAAGCGUGCGCAGGCGGUUCUCCAAGUCCGUUGUGAAAGCCCCGGGCUCAACCUGGGAAUGGCAGUGGAAACUAGGGGACUGGAAUCUGGCAGAGGGGGGUGGAAUGCCGCGUGUAGCAGUGAAAUGCGUAGAGAUGCGGCGGAACACCGAUGGCGAAGGCAGCCCCCUGGGCUGAGAUUGACGCUCAGGCACGAAAGCGUGGGGAGCAAACAGG
RNAcentral lists this ribosomal RNA (253 nucleotides) under uncultured bacterium. Its description in RNAcentral is "partial 16S ribosomal RNA". It matches the Rfam family "Bacterial small subunit ribosomal RNA", at positions 524 to 776 of the family's 1533-position model. The record is from RNAcentral.